AGUGGCGGACGGGUGAGUAACGCGUAAGAAUCUAACUUCAGGACGGGGACAACAGUGGGAAACGACUGCUAAUACCCGAUGUGCCGCGAGGUGAAACCUAAUUGGCCUGAAGAAGAGCUUGCGUCUGAUUAGCUAGUUGGUGGGGUAAGAGCCUACCAAGGCGACGAUCAGUAGCUGGUCUGAGAGGAUGAGCAGCCACACUGGGACUGAGACACGGCCCAGACUCCUACGGGAGGCAGCAGUGGGGAAUUUCCGCAAUGGGCGAAAGCCUGACGGAGCAACGCCGCGUGAGGGAGGAAGGUCUUUGGAUUGUAAACCUCUUUUCUCAAGGAAGAAGUUCUGACGGUACUUGAGGAAUCAGCCUCGGCUAACUCCGUGCCAGCAGCCGCGGUAAUACGGGGGAGGCAAGCGUUAUCCGGAAUUAUUGGGCGUAAAGCGUCCGCAGGUGGUCAGCCAAGUCUGCCGUCAAAUCAGGUUGCUUAACGACCUAAAGGCGGUGGAAACUGGCAGACUAGAGAGCAGUAGGGGUAGCAGGAAUUCCCAGUGUAGCGGUGAAAUGCGUAGAGAUUGGGAAGAACAUCGGUGGCGAAAGCGUGCUACUGGGCUGUAUCUGACACUCAGGGACGAAAGCUAGGGGAGCGAAAGGGAUUAGAUACCCCUGUAGUCCUAGCCGUAAACGAUGGAUACUAGGCGUGGCUUG
This 700-nucleotide ribosomal RNA is filed under the name uncultured bacterium. Its description in RNAcentral is "bacterial SSU rRNA". It matches the Rfam family "Bacterial small subunit ribosomal RNA", at positions 94 to 829 of the family's 1533-position model. The record is from RNAcentral.